GUCAGCCGCCGCGGGAACACCGGCGGCCCGAGUGGUGAUCGUGAUUAUUGGGUCUAAAGGGUCCGUAGCCGGUUUGGCCAGUCCUCCGGGAAAUCUGAUAGCUCAACUAUUAGGCUUUCGGGGGAUACUGCCAGACUUGGAACCGGGAGAGGUAAGAGGUACUACAGGGGUAGGAGUGAAAUCUUGUAAUCCCUGUGGGACCACCUGUGGCGAAGGCGUCUUACCAGAACGGGUUCGACGGUGAGGGACGAAAGCUGGGGGCACGAACCGGAUUAGAUACCCGGGUAGUCCCAGCCGUAAACGAUGCUCGCUAGGUGUCAGGCAUGACGCGACCGUGUCUGGUGCCGCAGGGAAGCCGUGAAGCGAGCCACCUGGGAAGUACGGCCGCAAGGCUGAAACUUAAAGGAAUUGGCGGGGGAGCACAACAACGGGUGGAGCCCUGCGGUUUAAUUGGACUCAACGCCGGACAACUCACCGGGGGCGACAGCAAUAUGUAGGCCAAGCUGAAGACUUUGCCUGAAUCGCUGAGAGGUGGUGCAUGG
RNAcentral lists this ribosomal RNA (542 nucleotides) under uncultured archaeon. RNAcentral describes it as "bacterial SSU rRNA". It matches the Rfam family "Archaeal small subunit ribosomal RNA", at positions 457 to 997 of the family's 1478-position model. The record is from RNAcentral.